GAAAAGACAUUAAUAAAUUCACUGGAUAUGUAUUUUCGAGAUUGAUAGCAUAUGCCGGCGGGAAACCUCUCGAGAAAGGCGAAAAGGAGAAGGAAAUUAAAGCCCCAUAUGUUAAAAUUUCAGGCCAAAAAACAAGCUAUGACUGCGCUAUUUACGUAAUGAAGUGGCUUGAGUUAAUAGAGCCGGAAAACAUUAAAAAGGGGAAGUAUGAAUGGGAUAACUGGACACAGGAGGAGGUGGACCACUACAGAGUGGAA
Molecule: long non-coding RNA, 257 nt
Organism: Arachis stenosperma
Lineage: Eukaryota; Viridiplantae; Streptophyta; Magnoliopsida; Fabales; Fabaceae
Exons: 4
Source: RefSeq, a predicted model, not a curated record